AGAGUUUGAUCAUGGCUCAGGAUGAACGCUAGCGACAGGCUUAACACGUGCAAGUCGAGGGGCAGCACGGGAGUAGCAAUACUUGGUGGCGACCGGCGCACGGGUGAGUAACGCGUAUGCAACCUACCUAUCAGAGGGGAAUAACCCGGCGAAAGUCGGACUAAUACCGCAUAAAACAGGGGCACCGCAUGGUGAUAUUUGUUAAAGAAAUUCGCUGAUAGAUGGGCAUGCGUUCCAUUAGGUAGUUGGUGAGGUAACGGCUCACCAAGCCGACGAUGGAUAGGGGAACUGAGAGGUUGGUCCCCCACACUGGUACUGAGACACGGACCAGACUCCUACGGGAGGCAGCAGUGAGGAAUAUUGGUCAAUGGGGCGGGAGCCUGAACCAGCCAAGUCGCGUGAAGGGAAAAGAAGGAUCUAUGGUUCGUAAACUUCUUUUGCAGGGGAAUAAAGUGCAGGACGUGUCCUGUUUUGUAUGUACCCUGAGAAUAAGGAUCGGCUAACUCCGUGCCAGCAGCUGC
This 521-nucleotide ribosomal RNA is filed under the name uncultured bacterium. Its description in RNAcentral is "bacterial SSU rRNA". It matches the Rfam family "Bacterial small subunit ribosomal RNA", at positions 8 to 518 of the family's 1533-position model. The record is from RNAcentral.